UAACUAUAUAAAAAUUAAAAUAAGCAAACAUGAGAUCAUAUAAAAAUACAACAUAUAAAAGCAACAGGAUUAGACAAAAAUGACAUACCUUUAGCACAAUUAUAUGGAGAAACCUGAACAAAUUAUGUUAAAAAAAGGAAUUCAAAAAAUAGAGUAUAACUUAAAUAUCAAUAAAACAAGAUACAAACAAACAAAUAAAUACAGAUAAUACAUAUGACAAACAUACAUCAGUGGUAGAUUGAUGAAGUUUGAACUGUGAAGGAUGAACUUCUUCAAUAUCCGUAUCAAACUUAGCUGAAAAAAUAUAAAAGAAGACAAGUGAAAACCAAAAAUAUAAGAAAAAUAAGUAAAAAGGAAGAUUAUAGAAAAAAGGAAAGUCAAAACAACAUAAAACCAUACCUUUACCAUGACGAACAGAAGGCAUAUGACCAACUUUAGGAAUAACAGGAG
Molecule: long non-coding RNA, 450 nt
Filed under: Sorghum bicolor (sorghum)
Lineage: Eukaryota; Viridiplantae; Streptophyta; Magnoliopsida; Poales; Poaceae
Description: long non-coding RNA (SBIC_LNC014733)
Source: RNAcentral